RNAcentral lists this unclassified non-coding RNA (834 nucleotides) under Hevea brasiliensis (rubber tree). Lineage: Eukaryota; Viridiplantae; Streptophyta; Magnoliopsida; Malpighiales; Euphorbiaceae. The record is from RNAcentral.
AAAUAAAGGGGUCACAGAGCCAGAGAGAGAGAUGAAAAGAGUAGAAUCGUUGGGUGUGAAGAAUUUUUGUUAAAGAUAAUCAAAAGAAAAGGAGGAGAAAAAUGGGGAGAGGUAGGGUUGAGCUGAAGAGGAUUGAGAACAAGAUCAACAGACAAGUCACCUUCUCAAAGCGCCGUAAUGGACUGCUCAAGAAGGCCUAUGAGCUCUCUGUCCUCUGCGACGCUGAAGUGGCUCUCAUCAUCUUCUCCAGCCGCGGCAAGCUCUACGAGUUCGGCAGCACCGGGACAAGUAAAACCCUUGAGCGAUAUCAGCAAUGCUGUUACACAUCUCAUGAUACUAAUGCCAUAAAUCAGGAAACACAGAGCUGGUAUCAGGAAACUUGUAAGUUGAAGGCAAAAGUAGAUUCCCUGCAACGUUCGCAAAGGCAUUUGCUGGGAGAGGACCUUGGACCAUUGAACAUUAAAGAACUUCAACAAUUGGAACGCCAAUUGGAAUCUGCACUAUCGCAAGCUAGACAAAGAAAGACACAGAUAAUGAUGGACCAGAUGGAAGAACUGCGUCAAAAGGAGCGCCAUCUUGGAGAAAUUAACAUGCAAUUGAAAAACAAGCUUGAAGAAGAAGGUGGCAACUUUAGAGCCUUACAGGGAAAUUGGAACUCCAAUGCUGUCCUCGAUAGAAACUCAUUUUCUCUGCACCCUAUGCAAUCGAGUGCUAUGGAAACCGAGCCCACUCUUCAAAUUGGAUACAAUCACUUUGCUCCUAAUGAAGAAGCUAUGCCAAGUAACAAUGCUGGUGUAGAGAACAAUUUCAUGCUAGGUUUGGGUUCUUUGAGUA